Molecule: long non-coding RNA, 559 nt
Filed under: Daucus carota (carrot)
Lineage: Eukaryota; Viridiplantae; Streptophyta; Magnoliopsida; Apiales; Apiaceae
Description: long non-coding RNA (DCAR_LNC000130)
Source: RNAcentral
UAGCCUAAUUUCAAUAUUCCGGACAUUUUUCGUGUUUUGACUUUUUCGAUCCGGAGUACGGUUUUCCCCGGAGUCGGUCCGGCGGAGUUUUCGGGUAUUUUAAUUGUCGAUAAUUAUCCAGUUUGUCUCGAUAAACGUGAACCGAGAUAUUUUCUUCAUCCUUAUCAUGUAAUAAUUGCAGUGGGACCCGCAGACCAAUAAUUGAGUUAAAAAGCCCCGUUUUGAUGAUUAUCUUGAAAACUAGUACCGAUUGGACCCCACUUUAUUAAUAUAAAGCUAUUAAAUACGUAUUUUCAUGUCAUAAACGAUCCAAAGGGGUACCAAUUAUUUGUAAAUAUAAAUAUACCUUUCUAGAGCUUAUUUUCACCCGUAAAAUCAUUUCACCAGUUUCUCUGCACGAAUACCGAGAGAAACCGAGCGGUGUUCUUCGUGUUCUUCAUAAUCAAACGUGGAUUUGAAGGCGUUAUUGGAGUCAGAAUCAAGCGUGCGAAUAGUCAAAACGAAGAUAUCGAGGAGUAGAAUCCAUAUCAAUGAUCAAAAACAACAUGAGAUUCCCAGG